UACAGAGGGGGCAAGCGUUAUCCGGAAUUAUUGGGCGUAAAGCGUCCGUAGGUGGUUUAGUAAGUCUGCUGUUAAAGCGCGGGGCUUAACUCCGUAUCGGCAGUGGAAACUACUAGACUAGAGUGUGGUAGGGGUAGAGGGAAUUCCCAGUGUAGCGGUGAAAUGCGUAGAUAUUGGGAAGAACACCGGUGGCGAAGGCGCUCUACUGGGCCAUAACUGACACUGAUGGACGAAAGCUAGGGGAGCGAAAGGG
This 253-nucleotide ribosomal RNA is filed under the name uncultured bacterium. Its description in RNAcentral is "partial 16S ribosomal RNA". It matches the Rfam family "Bacterial small subunit ribosomal RNA", at positions 524 to 776 of the family's 1533-position model. The record is from RNAcentral.